GACAGAGGGUGCAAACGUUGUUCGGAAUUACUGGGCGUAAAGCGCAUGUAGGCGGUUCGUCAAGUCAGAUGUGAAAGCCCUGGGCUUAACCCAGGAAGUGCAUUUGAAACUCACGAACUUGAGUCCCGGAGAGGAAGGCGGAAUUCUCGGUGUAGAGGUGAAAUUCGUAGAUAUCGAGAGGAACAUCGGUGGCGAAGGCGGCCUUCUGGACGGUGACUGACGCUGAGAUGCGAAAGCGUGGGGAGCAAACAGG
Molecule: ribosomal RNA, 253 nt
Filed under: uncultured bacterium
Lineage: Bacteria
Description: partial 16S ribosomal RNA
Rfam family: Bacterial small subunit ribosomal RNA
Source: RNAcentral